UACGAAGGGGGCUAGCGUUGUUCGGAAUUACUGGGCGUAAAGCGCACGUAGGCGGCCUGUUAAGUCAGGGGUGAAAUCCCGGGGCUCAACCCCGGAACUGCCUUUGAUACUGGCAUUCUCGAGUCCGGAAGAGGUGAGUGGAAUUCCGAGUGUAGAGGUGAAAUUCGUAGAUAUUCGGAGGAACACCAGUGGCGAAGGCGGCUCACUGGUCCGGUACUGACGCUGAGGUGCGAAAGCGUGGGGAGCAAACAGG
This 253-nucleotide ribosomal RNA is filed under the name uncultured bacterium. Its description in RNAcentral is "partial 16S ribosomal RNA". It matches the Rfam family "Bacterial small subunit ribosomal RNA", at positions 524 to 776 of the family's 1533-position model. The record is from RNAcentral.